GACGAACGCUGGCGGCGUGCUUAGCACAUGCAAGUCGAACGGAAAGGCCCUGCUUUUGUGGGGUGCUCAAGUGGCGAACGGGUGAGUAACACGUGAGUAACCUGCCCUUGACUUUGGGAUAACUUCAGGAAACUGGGGCUAAUACCGGAUAGGAGCUCCUGCUGCAUGGUGGGGGUUGGAAAGUUUCGGCGGUUGGGGAUGGACUCGCGGCUUAUCAGCUUGUUGGUGGGGUAGUGGCUUACCAAGGCUUUGACGGGUAGCCGGCCUGAGAGGGUGACCGGCCACAUUGGGACUGAGAUACGGCCCAGACUCCUACGGGAGGCAGCAGUGGGGAAUAUUGCACAAUGGGCGGAAGCCUGAUGCAGCAACGCCGCGUGCGGGAUGACGGCCUUCGGGUUGUAAACCGCUUUCGCCUGUGACGAAGCGUGAGUGACGGUAAUGGGUAAAGAAGCACCGGCUAACUACGUG
RNAcentral lists this ribosomal RNA (468 nucleotides) under uncultured bacterium. RNAcentral describes it as "partial 16S ribosomal RNA". It matches the Rfam family "Bacterial small subunit ribosomal RNA", at positions 28 to 507 of the family's 1533-position model. The record is from RNAcentral.